Molecule: long non-coding RNA, 36162 nt
Filed under: Malus domestica (apple)
Lineage: Eukaryota; Viridiplantae; Streptophyta; Magnoliopsida; Rosales; Rosaceae
Source: RNAcentral
UUCCUAUUAUUUAACUUCAUAUGAACAAAUUAUUUACAAUUUCCAUCAAAGUUUAUACAAAUUUACAUUGACCAAUGGUACAACAAUUUGCUCAUUCAUCGAGCCAGUCCAGAUCGAAAUGUUUCUCCACCACCUGAACAUGAAGCUCCGGCAAUGCCUUCUCUGCAUCUCUCCACAUCCAAGAAAUAUCCUCGUCGCACACUACACGGCGCAGGGACUGUAACGCUGCAGCGGAUUUCGGCAGAUUGCUAAUUUGUGAACAUUCCCUCAUGUCAAUCUUUACCAAACUUGCUAGCUUACCAAUGUCCAUGGGUAGGCAUCUCAAAUUUACACAUUGGGAAAUGUCAAUGUACUCCAAGCGAAGUAGCUCGCAAAUGCUAGCUGGAAGCGUCUGCAGUGCCGGACACGCGUAUAACCUUAGGAUCUGUAGAGAUUGCAGCCUUCCCAAAUCAGCUGGGAGCUGGUAUAGGCUGUGGCAGUUGGUUACGCUCAAGUUCUUGAGCGAAGGCAUUGUGCAAAUGCACGAAGGCAGCUGGAAUAAGUCAUCGCAAUGAUCGAUUGUGAGCUCUGUGAGCCGAGGAAAGGUGGAUUGAUCAAGGCUAUUACUGAUCUUGCAUAGGAUUAUAUAGAUUUUCCUCAGAUUUUUCAGGGGGAUGGUGGAUAACCGAGGGACAAAUACUUUUUCGAGCCAGAGGCUUCUCAAGUUGGUUAAGUUUGAGAAGACUGAAAAGCCAUUUAGGAUGCAAUUUGACGUACUGUAAUUCAUGAUUAUCAAUGCCCUCAACUUUGGCAUGUUUUCAAUGAAAGGAGGAAGAAGGUAAUCGUUGUCCGAUGAAAAAUUCAAAAUCAGCACUUCACAUUUGGGAAACUCCAUCUGGAACCAGUCCAUCUCUUUCAUUUCACCUGCAUUAUCGAGGGAUGAAUCGGUUUAAAUCAGCACGAAAGAGUAAACAUAACAAAUAACCUCAUAAUCAAUAAUGCAAUUACUGAGGCACGUUAAUACCGGUAUGAACUGAUACAAUCUUCGCGUGAAAUGGCUGAUCUGAAUCCCUCUCCCAUUCUCUUGGAAGUUCAGUCUCUCUUCUUGGCAUAAGCAAUCGACUGCGUUCGUUCACGCUGCCAUCAUUGCUCAAAUGAAGAGCAAGGUCCCUCAGCACAUCAUGUUGUGUAACAGAUAUGUCAUAGCAACUGCUAUAUAUGUCUCCAACUCUGCAACAUUAAUAUAAACAAAGGGUUCAAAACAGAAACUAAUCACACUCAAGUAAAAGAAAUCAAGUACCGAACUUUAUGCAUCGUACCUUGCAUCUUUCACCAGGGUGAGGAGAUUUUUGUUUGAAAGCUCAACAAGAAUAGCAAACGCUUCUUCUUCGUCGAUGCCAUGUAUUUCAACCCACAUAUUGGUAAGGACAUCAAGAGGGAUCUUCUUGUCUUCUGGAAACGCACCCAAAUCCAAGAAACAUGAUUUAACAUUUUUGGAUAAGCAGUCGAGACUCGUUGCCAUACGUUUAAGUAGAUUGUUCUCAUGGGACUCACAAAAAGCUUCCCCUUUCGACAACUUGCUCCUUGCAUUUGCCCAACACAAUUCAGGCUGGUCCUUCAGUGAAGCUCCAAUCACUUUGAGAGCCAAAGGAAGCCGCUUACACUCGUUAACAAUCUAAAGUUCAAGAAAACAAUCAGUUACCGAUCGAAGGAAACACAAAACAACCCAUUUUGAUUAGCAGAAAAUGGAGAUUGGAGACUUAUGACAACUUUUGGCAGUAGAACUUAGAAAGUGAUUAUGCAUUAUAGAAGCACUUUCUAGAGGUUUUCAAAGAAGCAAUUGUAUUAGCAAAAGCGCUUAUGAGCGGAAAGAAUUGCAAGCGGGCACUAAGAUAGUACCUGCUUGACCAAAUUUUUAUCAGCAGCAGGAGGAAUGGACUUUUGGCCAAAAGCAGAGUGACAAAACAGAGAGAGUGCUUCUUCUUCCCUCAACAACUCAACAUCAUAAGUGGCAUUGAGGACGGUUGGGAAUUUGAAACGUGAGACCACAAGAAACUUGCAGCCUGGGAUCUUAAAGAGCAGCGGCUCAAGCACUGCCAGUGACCACACAUCAUCCAAAACCACCAGAGUUUUCGUUGCGGUAAUCCAUUCAUAUUGCAAGUUCCAUUGGGGAAGCACAGAAUUGGGACUGAGAAUUUGGUUCCCCAUGAUGAACUGCACAAUCUUGGCCUUCAACUGGUUCACAUCUGGAGACUGUGAUACAGUCAGGAACAGAAUUCUAUCACUGAAAUAAGCUGCAUUCGAAUGGCGAUGAACACAAAACAGAGUCAGUGUUAAAUUCUAAAGAACUCAAAUUCAAGAGAACCCAUUAAAGACAAUUCAAGUUCUAUAAAACCCAUGAAAGAACAUUCUCAAAAGAAGCAAAACAAAGCAGAGUUUUGAAAAUUCAUCUAAAAACUCUUCUGACAAGAAUUGGCGAAAAAGUGAUUAUAUCAUCUGAAAAGCUUUUGAAUUUUCAAUACAAAUUUCAACUUGUUUGUAAUAAAAUAAAAGCACUUCUAGCAAAAUCGAUUAUGAUCACAAGUACGCAAUCCGAAACAUGCACUCAGUUACUUACAUCUGACUUGAUCAUCCUUGCAAAGCUCUCUAGCGAGGGUGGUUUUUCCAGAGCCACCAAUCCCACAAAUCCCAACGACCCUCAAAUCCUCCCUCCCAAAAAUCAUUCCCUUCACCGUCUUCAUCCCCACCCCCAAUCCUAACACCACCGAACUGCUCACCUCCCACUUCAUCUGCCCUUCCUCCUCCACCCUCCUCACAGCCUCCUCCAUCCACCCGCCACCGACACCCCCGCCCCCGCAAGUCCCAAUCUUUAAGGUCCCAAGCCGCUGUUCCAGCGUCCGGUUCGACCAAUCAAGCCGGUCGAACCGCUGAUCCAUCCCCGCCCUAAUGUGGUGGACGUCGGCCAAGAUAUGGACCUGUAAUGGGCCCUGAAGAAAUCUGGACACUGUCUUCUCCAAAGCCUCCAUCUUUUUCGCCAAUCGGACGUGCCUGUAAAAGUUCCAGCGCGGUGUCGCGAGGAUUUUUUGGACCAGUUCGAGGCCGUUCUGGAGAACUUCCGACAUGCGGUCGAGCUGGAACUGCCGUUCGGCCGGUAGCUCAACGCCGGAGUACUUGAUUUCUUGGAUUAUGGGGAGGAGCUGCUCGACUGAGGUUUUGAGUUCCUCGGCGAUUCCUCUGCUGUUGCAUGACUUGCGGGAGAGGGCGAUCAAAUUUUUCAGGAGCUCCGUCGUGAUCUCGCCGACGAAGAAGUCCGUCACUGCCAUUGUUGGUGGUGGUGGGAGCUGUGCGGCUAUGGCGGGUGAAAUGGUUUGUCUUGUUAUGGAGAGCGCGUUUCGACGAUGCUUCUCAGUUAUGCCCUCUGCCUUUUGAAACGUUGUUUUAUAAUUGUGACAUGCGUUUUUUUUUUUUUUAUAAAGAAAACUAAUGAAAAAUGUAUAAAUUUUUUUAAAUUUAACUAUAAAAGUAAAGUAAAAUGUAAAAUAAAUAGUAUCAGAAUUGACUUUUUAAUGUAAAAAUAUGAUUUUUCUUUAAAAUGAAUAAUACCAAGAUUUUUUCAUUAAAGUUCUAUUUUUUGAAUACUAAUCAACUAACUACUUAAAGAUUGGUUUUUUUUGCCAUAUGCCAUCACUUUCAUUUUACUUUUAUUAAAAUAAGUCAAAUUCUUUAAAUUUAAUUAUUUAAUUAUAAAUAAUUAUCUCUUCAAUGAUAAAAUUUAUUAUAAAAAUCAAAUUUGUUCUUAAUUAUCUUUUUUUUUUUGGUGCUAUUUCUUGUUCUUCUUCCGGCUUUAAACCCUAUUUAUAGAUUUUAUUUUUAAUUCUUAUAAGCAACAUAUAUCACAUGUUAAUUAUAUUUAUCUACCUAUAUGAUAGAUUUAUUUUUAUAAUCGACCUGUCACAUAUUAAUGUGUCUUACUUCUAUGUGUAUUAUGUUUUUCUACCUUUUAGUUGGGUUUCAUAUCUCGUUUAUAGGUAUAAUAUACAUUCGUAUAUUUUUACUUGAGUUAGGGUAUAAUGUUUUGCAAAUAAAUUUAUGUUAGUAUAUAUAUAUAUAUUAUUUUUUUUUGUUAUAAGAUAUUAAUUAGACUUUUUGGAGUUGAAAAAUACAUAAUAUUAGAAGAUUUUAAUUGAUUUUUAAUACUUUUAGAAAAUGUAAAAUGAGUAUAAAAGAAAUAAAAACAUGUAAAUAGAUAACUUGACUCACUUCUAAAAAUCAUCAAUGUUUUUGGACCUGGAUCUAAAAGCCCCAUGUAAAGAACAAUAAUAAAUAAGGAAAACUAAUUUAAAAAGUUUCAAAACUUUUAAUUUUAACAAAAAACCAUCCACUAGUUUUUUUUUUUUAAUGAUAAGGACAAAAAAAAAGAAAAAAAAAACCUAAAAAAAGUGCGUGCAACUCAAACCCAGUUGUUAACUCGCUCAUUCUCCUCCCAUCACUUCGUUUUGCAGCAGUCUCUUCUAACAAAUUUCACAUCCGAGUUUCCUCUCUAGCUUGGAAAUCAAGUACAACGCAAUCCAAACGCACUUUUAAAGGCCUUUGUUGAGCACUACUACGUACAUGUUUGAUGCCAACCGCGCGGCCAUGGCUAAUCUAUACCAGGAAAGCUCAAUGUUGAGCUUCGAAGGUCAGAAGAUCCAAGGAAGGCUCUUAUGUAUAUUUGUUUCAAUACAACAUGGAAUGUAUAUUUGAUUUGAUUUAGCUAAUCUAUGAUAUGGUUAACCUAUACCAUGAAGGCUCAAUGUGGAGCCUUGAAGGUCAGAAGAUCGAAGGGUCACAAAAGCAUCAUGGCCAAGCUUACUAGCCUCCCCUUCCAGCAAUGCCAGCACUACUGUGAUUUUGGCUAUGGUUUUGGUGAUUUUGGCUUUUGUGAUCGAGGUUAGUCAAUCUGCUAUAAACUUGAUUUUGGUUUGAAAAAUAGUCAGUGCUUAGUUUACGUAAUAGUAACAGUACUAGUUUACGAAAUAGUAAUAAUACUAGUGUUUGGUUUGAAAAAUAGUCAGCGCUUAGUUUACGAAAUAGUGAUUGUACUAUUACUUGGUUUAAUACAUAGUCUAUUUAGUUUACGAAAUAGUGAUGGUACCAGUGUUAGGUUUAAGAAAUAAUUAGUGUUUAGUUUACAAGGUGUUCGGUUUAAGAAAUGGUCAAUGUUUAGUUUACGAAAUAGUAAUAGUACUAGCGUUCAGUUUAAGAAAUAGUUAGUGUUCAGUUCAAGAAGUAAUGAUAGUAUUAGUGUUUGGUUUAAGAUUGUUGACCCUAAAAACUACCAAGCCUAUAUGGCGCUGUUUAGGCCCAAAAUAAAGUUUGGGCAGAGUAGAGAAUCAUUCUCGGCCCGGAAGGCCUUGCGGCAUGGAUCGUUCAGUACGUGGGCCUCCAAACCUAGGUCGGCUAGGUCAGGACGUAGGAUAAGUCAAGUCCUGGUGCAAUAAGGAGUCUCAGCAGGAUUAAUAACCCUAGAGCGAAUCCGACUCAAUAAAGGACUAGGUUCACAGUCAUAAUGAAAGUAGGAUUGGUCGAGUCAGUGUUUGAUUUGGGAGAAGAAGUCCUAGUCCGAAUGGGGUUUUAACUCGACCUUGGGGGGAGCCGUUGCUAUAAAUAGAAGAGGUCGUGCAUCAUUCGAGCCCCCUACAAUUCAACACAAAACUGCCCUGCGCAAGCUUUCUCAACAACUUUGAGAUUUUUUCUUUUCUUUUCUCGCUGACACAUCUUCCGUUGGCAUCAACAGCACUGUGGAAGCAACCGGUGAUAUCUUAAGUCGACAUAGAUAGCUCUGUCAUCGUAGAAUCAGUCGGUCUCGCAGUAUCUUCUGUUGGCAUUAACAGCACUGCGGCGAGGACGGUUGGUUACCUAUCCAAGUCUCGAUCGAGAAGGAUUUCCGGAUCCUUAUUGAUUGAGGUCAUCUCAUUAGCCUCCUCGACGAAGUGAGGUGUUACAGUAUAUCGAGCUCGGUGCAUUGCACGUCGAGUUAUUUUAUGAUUGGGUAUUCCCAAGUGGGAUUUAGAGUUCGGCAUUCGGACGGCCGAACCACGUUCACCAUUAAAACUUAUAUUUGCUUUGAGUAUUUGUGCCCUUACACUUUGGUGUCGAUUCAGCGUGAGUUUGCUCUGACGAAUAACAUCACUGUGACUGAAUCCGACGUCGACGACUCGUGAACUUCGUAAGAAUAGUAACCUUGUCUUCAGGUUCAAGAACCCAAGAGGCCGAGACGAGUUCCUUCCUCGAUCGCAAUCGCAAGACACAGGAGUUAGUCGCGCACCCAACGCAACAUCAACAAAUUUACUCCUCGGCCAAGCUCGGCUGACGAGUUGGCACGCCCGCAUUCACCGAAGGACGUAGUUAGCUUAUAGAUUACUCGGCCUGCGCGCCACGUAGGCUUGGUAGUUUCUAGGGUCAACAGGCGCGCAUGCUGAGUAAUCUAUGAGCUAACUACGUUAUUCGGUUGAAUGCGGGGCGUGCCAACUCGUCGACCGAGCUCGGCCGAGGAGUAAAAUUUGUUGAUGUUGCGUUGAGUGCGCGACUGACUUCUGCGUCUUGAUAUUGCGAUCGAGGAAGGAACACGUCUCGGCCUCUUAGGUUCUUGAACCUGAAGACAAGACUACUAUUCUUACAAGCUCACAAAUUGUCGUUGUCGGAUUCGGCCACAGUGAUGGUAUUCGUCAGAGUAAACUCUCGCCGAAUCGACACCAAAGUGUAAGGGCACAAAUACUCAAAGCAGAUAUGUGUCUUAACAAUAAACAUGGUUCGGCUGUCGGAAUGCCGAACUCUAAAUCCCACUCGAGAGUAUCCAAUCAUAAACCAACUCGGCUUGCAAUGUGCCGAGCCUAAUAAACUGUAACACCUCACCUCGCCGAGAAGGCUAAUGAGAUGACCUCGACCAAUAAGGAUUUAGAAAUCCUUCUCGACCGAGACUUAGAUAGGCAACCAACCGUCCUCGCCGCAGUGCUGUUGAUGCCAAUGGAAGAUGUUGCGAGAUCGGCUGAUUCUACGGCGACAGAGCUGUCUAUGCCGACUGAAGAUAUCACUGGUUGCUUUCACAGUGCUGUUGAUGCCAACGGAAGAUGUGUCAGCGAAAAGAGAAAAUAAAAAAUCUCAAGUUGUUGAGAGAGUUUGCGCAUGGCAGUUACGUAUUGAAUUGGAGGAGCCUUUACUUGCUGCAACUGCCUCUGUAUUUAUAAUUCACCAGUAACCCUAAGAUUGCCGUCGUAAGUUGCAAAAUAAUAGGAAUUUUCUCUUUCAAAUAUGCAUGAUCCCGUUUGGCGUGGCCUGGAUGAUUUUGUAGAAACCAACUGAAACUCAACUCUCAAAAGCCUACACCUACUUAAAGUUCUUAUUGUUCCAAAUAUCCAUGCUGAAUGAAUCUAGCUCCAUAAAGAAAACAUAAAAUGGCCCAACAUACAAAAGCAUAUACCAAUAUGCUAAAUGAUUUAGUAUAAAAUACCCAUUGUUAAUUGUUAGCAAGGCAGUUGCUGCCAUCUUAUCACCAACACGUGUAGACUCAUUUUCAAAACACAUCACCUAUUUUUACUUCACCCUUAUCACAUGCAUGCAUAUCUGUUGAGCAAAACCAAUCCAAACCACAUCCAUACGCCAAACAUCCAAAUCAUUUUGGAUUGUGCUGCUUGUUUCCAGCUUAGGGAUACAUUUUCCCUCUUUCAUAAGAAGAUGUUGAGAUAAAUUAUUAAAAGAUAAUUAUGAUAAAAACGAUAACUUUAAAAGUCAUUAUCUUUUAAUAAUGACCUUUAUUUUUUUGAUCCAACAGUCGGGAGCUAUGUUCACUCAACGGCCUUGAUUUCACAGGCCGAUAGUGUAAAUUUGGGUCCAAACAAAGAUAUAGUUAGUAUUUAGUUUAAGAAAUAUUGUUCAGUUUAAGAAGUAGUCAAUGUUCUGUUUAAGAAAUAGUAUUCAGUUUAAGAAGUAGUCAAUGUUCUGUUUAAAAAGUAGUCAAUGUUCUGUUUAAGAAAUAGUGACAAUAUUAAUGUUCAUAUAACUGAAUAAUGAAAAUUUUCUUUAUUUUUGAUCUUGUAAUAUUAUUACUUAGUUUGUUCUAAAACAAUUGAAAGAAUAGUCAAAUAAUAAAAUAAAAAUAAGAAAUAAAAUUGUUUGUGGAGUGAGGUGAAAGGAGAGAGAAGAGUGGGGAGAGGUUAAAAAAAAAAAAGAUGAUGUGGAUGGGUGAGGUGAAGGGAAAGAGAAAAAUUGAUGGGAAUAUAUGAAUGAGGGAGAGAGAGAGAGAGAAAGAGAUUGAUCGGUUAAGUGAGAAAAAGAGUGUAUGUGUGUGAUGUGAUGCGCGGUUCCGCGUGUUGAUGCAUGUUUUUUAUUUUUAUGUAAACUUUUUGUCAUUUUCAUUAAAAUUUGAACAUUUUUUUAUAUUAAAGUUUAAACCUUUUUUAUUAAAUAAAGUUAGUCGAUAAUUUUUAGUUAAUUAAAAGUUUUGAGAAGCCAUUUUCAUUAAAACUCCCUAGUAAAUAAUGAGAUGAAGAGCUCAACCCCUCUUCCUCCCUUCAUUUUCCUAUUCCUACCCCAACCCGAAUUCUCCCUUCCCCCUUCUCACUCUUUUCUCCGAUUUAUCUCGCCUUUGUCCCCUCCACACACACACCCCCCCCCCCCAUCCAAAAAAAAAAGGAACUUUAACGAAAAGCUUUCAGUACUGUUCACUUUAACGAAAAACCACAUUUUUACACUAAAAAGUCAAUCCUGCUACUAUUUACUUUACCUUUUAUUUUGUCUUUACCAUUAAAACUCAAAAUUUUCAAACCCUUUUCAUUAGUUUUUCUAAAAAAAAAAACUCUCAAAAAACUCUUUCCAUCCCUUUUUCUCUUUCUAAUUUUCAAUUGCAAUAGAAAAUGUGGUUAGAAUUUUCAAUUUUAAUGUUAUUGUGUUGAAUAUAAUUAAAUUUGGGCGGGGAGAUAGAUAGAGAGACAGGAAUAAAAGGGAGGAAGAAAACAAGGGCAGCAUAUGUAAGAAAAAGAGGUGCCACCAGCGCAGGUUGUGCCUGAUUUAUUGCGAUGGCUGGGGUGGGUGGCGUUAUUUUUAUUUUUUCAUUCUUUUUGUUUUUACUUUUUUUUGGUUGUUGUUGAGUUUUUCAGUCUUUUUGUUUUCACUUUUUACAUCUUAAGCUAGUAGGGAUAGUUAGGGAAUAAUGGUGGGUUGGAAGAUAGUUAGAUUUUUUUGUAAAUUUUAGGGUGGGUGAAAUUAUAAUGUGGGUGGGAAAAUAAGAUAAUGAGGUGGGCCUAGUAUCACUCUUUUUUUUAUACGAGCGAUAGUGGGGGAAGGGGAGUUGGAUUCUCGUAUGCAAGGAUGUAUAUUUUGACCAACUAAGUUGCAUGUCAUUUGCUAUCAUAACAGAACCACGAGUAUUUUAAUGAUCUUAUAUAACCCGAAUAACUUACUCAUUUUGUAAAGUCAUCUCCAACCUAAGGAGCUAAACAUAGCCCUGUCUAGAAUUAUAGGCCUGCAAAAAAAUAUUUUUAAAUGAAUAUUGUCAGGCCAUAUUCAUAUACCAUCUCCAACCGAAUUUUAAGUUUGUAAUAAUUUUUCGAACAUUCUAUCCAUUUAAUGUCUCCUUUAAGCCUUUGUCAAGGCUUGAUGCCAUUUGUUCAACCUCGGUUAAAGUUGUUUUUCCAUUAGGGGACUCACAUUAUUUUUCGAACAUACUAGUCCAAGGCCUUCACUUGAUUGACAAAUACCCUUGACACUAUCUUCAGAGAUCUACCUAUAAGCCCUGGAAAGAGCUUCAUCUUCUUUUGGGUCCAACCUUUUCCUUUGGUUGAAAAUGUAACCAUUUAAAAAAAUAAUGGAAGAUGUAAGCUAGAAAUUCUAGUCAUUUAUGCAGCUAUCAAUGGAUGAUGGAAAAACCAGCUAGCUCGGAUGCUAAGAAACAACGUAAGAGAAAACGUCUUGACAAACAGUUAUUUCAGACCUACGUUAAAAGCUUUCGACAUAAACAGAAAUUCAGACUCGUGUAGAGGAAUUGAUCCGAAAAGGUGUUACAACACUAAGGUGCUCUUAGCUCCUGAUCAUUGGCACUUAGUACGAACAACUACCUUAGCACUACAUUUUGACUUUCUGAUUGGAGUUUAACACAAGUAGAUCGUUACCUAGGGCAGAUGCUGGAAAACAAGGUGGUUAAAAGAGUUCUUGCUCCAAAAAAAGAAAAAAAAAAGUAGUUCUUACCUUCUUGUACGAGUAGUGAAGAACUAUACAGAGCUGUGGGUUGGUUGUUGACCAAGGGAAAGCAUGGGAGAAAAAAGGAGAGUGUUGCGGAAGCCCCAAUCCUUAAUAUACCUUGAUCGAUAACACCAAAGUUAUUGGAAGGGUAAUAGAGGUGUGUGUAUGAAAAGAGUGUUUGAGGUGAAUAGAAUGUGAAAAAUUGGAUUAAAAUGAGGUAAUAUGGUAGACAAGGGUGAGAAAUAGUGUACAAAUGUGAUAGGUAUUUAUAGGAGGGUGUUGCGGAAACCCUAAUCCUUAAUAUACCUUGACCUGUAACCCUCAAAGUUAUUGGAAUGGUGUUUGGAUCCGAUUUUACACCAUCGGCCUGUGCAAUCAAGGUCGUCGAGUGAGUAUGGCUCCCAACCGUCGGAUAGAAAGAUAAAGAUCGUUUUGUUAUUAUUAAAAGAUAAUGUUAUGAUUUUUAUCAUAAUCUUUUAAUAAUAAUGUAUUAUGAGAGAUCUCCAAGCUGGGAAUACGGUGGCAUAAUUCAAGUCGAUCUGGAUGUUUGGCGUAUGAAUAUGUGGAUGGGAUCAGUGUGGAUGAUUAGUAUGCUGCAAAUUGCUUAUUAUAUAUUUAAAUAUGGAUAAACAUUUUGGUAUAGGUGCCAGGAAUUAGCAUCCCGAGGUGGUGGUUUAAAUGAGGUUUGAAAAGUCAUGGUGAAUGGAGCAGAUAAAUAUGGAUGCAGAUGGGAUAAUUAUCAUUUAAAGUAUACAUGGGAUAUGCCUAUUUGAUGUUGUGGUUUUGGUCACGUGGUGUGCUUUUUGGGAUUAUUGUUAUCCGUGCAUGGCUACACAUGGAUCGAUGUGAUGGAAAUUGAGUUCUUGUUGGACUAGGAGUCUGAAGCGGAGUCAGAGGAUGAUAGUAUCUGAAGGAUAUGCUUUCAUUUACUUUGAGAGAAGUCAUUGACGCUAGUGAGUUUGAGUUGAAAUCAAAUACUAACGUGAAGCAGCGCCACAUAACAUUUUCUCCUAUAAAUACAAGACACCAUGCAACUAUUCAAAGCCUCCCAAUUCAACACACAAUUGCUCUGCACAAAUUCUCUCAACAACCUUGAGAUUUUUUCUUUUUUCUUUUCGCCGACACACCUUCAGUUUGGAUAAACAGCACUGUGGAGACAACCAGUGAUAUCUUCAGUUGGCAUAAACAACACUGUCGUCGUAGAAUCAGCCGAUCUCGCAGCAUCUUCAGUUGGCAUAAACAGCAUUGCGUCGAGGCUGACUGGUUACCUAUCCAAGUCUCGGUCUUGAAGGAUUUCUGAAUCCUUGUUGGUCGAGGUUAUCUCAUUAGCCUUCUCGGCGAAGUGAGAUGUUACGAGUUACUACAUUCGGCACAUUGGAAGCUGAAUUUGAUAUUGAACUUCGCUAAGUUAGUAGCCUUGUCUUCAGGCUCUAGAACCCAAAGGCCAAGACAAGUUCCUUCCUCGGCCACAAUCGCAAGACGCAGAAGUCAGCCGCGCACCUAACGCAACAUCAACAUAUUUUACUCCUCGGCCUAGCUCGGUCAACGAGUUGGCACGCCUCGUACACAACCGAAGGACGUAGUUAGCUCAUAGAUUACUCGGCUUGCGCGCCUGUAGGCUUGGUAGUUUUUAGGGUCAACAAAUAGUAAGAGAGGUGUGUGUAUGAAAAGAGUGUUUGAGGUGAAUAGAAUGUGAAAAAUUGGAUUAAAAUGAGGUAAGAUAGUAGAUAACGGUGAAAAGGAUGUGAGAAAUAGUGUACAAAUAUGAUAGGUAUUUAUAGGAGGGUGUUGCAGAAGCCCUAAUCCUUAAUAUACCUUGAUCGGUAACCCCCAAGUUAUUGGAAGGGUAAGAGAAGUGUGUGUAUGAAAAGAGUGUUUGAGGUGAAUAGAAUGUGAAAAAUUGGAUUAAAAUGAGGUAAGAUGGUAGGUAAGGGUGAAAGGGAUGUGAAAAAUAGUGUACAAAUGUAAUAGGUAUUUAUAGGAUUUUUUUUUAUUUUUUAAAUUUCGCCUGAAAAACGAAAAAGAAUUCCAACGGCUAGCAAGCGUCAGCUAGCCGUUACCAGAUAACACCAUUGCUCUGUUGUUCCUAGCCCAACCGUUGGAUGCUUUUAAAUCCAACUAUUGGAUUUAAAUCAAUUAUUGAAGCAUGGCAGCUCGGCGUUGGGAAACGGGUUGGAAGAUAGGUUGCAGUUAGCCUGCCCGAUGCCUUUUGGUCAAAUAAUGGUCUGGUCGGCUCCAUAGAUUUAUAAGCUAGCCAUCCAUUGGAGAUGAAUUUUUUGUUAAAUUAGGUCAUUUUUUGGGUUUUAGACCUUUAACCCUCUUCAUUGGAUAUGACCUAGUUCGUUUGAUAUAUCACUUUGUCAUGAAAAGGACUUAUAAGCAAUGGGUUCAGUGUGGCGUCAUGUUCUAAUAAAACAAUGACAUAUAUAAGAUUUUCAACACAUGCAUGGACGACACGUACCCCAUUAACUCCUAAAUAAAUUGCUCUCCCUUGUUAUAUUAAGACUUACAAUUUUGGUGAUUAAUAGAAUCUAUGCUUCUAUAUAUAGUAAGUAGCCAUUGCAUUCAUAGCGAGUGAUACUCGAGAAAAACCUUUUUAUCCCAGUGUCGCUGCCAGAGAAAUAUAGUAAGUGACACCGGAGAUAUCUAUUUUUACAAACAUGAACCCUACAAUUGGUGAUUAGCUUAACGUUUUGGUUUAUUUCAUUUGACCUAUUCUUACUAACAAAAGUCCUCAAAUUAUUAUAAGAUAGCUUUGUUAGCUAUAUGCCAUCACUUUCAUUUUACUUUUUUCUUUUGUAUACAAGUGAAAUCAUAUAGUGGGUCAAAUUUUCGUUGGAAUAAUAAAUGCUUUUGAUCAAACGAGCUACAUGACUGUCAUUUAUGCAGUUUACUUGAAAUAAAAAACUUCUGUAGAACAGUAAAACCACAUAUAUCUUGAGGGUCUUAAUUAACCCAAUAAUCUCGCUCAUUGUGUGAGUUGCUUUGAUAUAUCACUCCAUGUCAUAUUAUACAAUUUUGGUAAUUAAAAGGAUCUUUACUUCUAUAUAUAGUCACCCUUGCAUUUUCAUAGUGAGUGGCAUUAAAGAAAUUUGUGUGUCCCGGUGGCACUGUAGAGAGAGAGGAAGAAGAGGGCAGUGACACCGGAGCAAGGACAUACUACAAACAUGAACCCUACAAUUGGUGAUUAGCUUAACAUUUUGGUUUAUUUCAUUUGACCUAUUCAUAGUGACAAAAGUCCUCUUGUUUGCUUGGAUGAUUGGCUCUCUCACCUAAUAUGCAAGUUAUGCGAUGCAUAUGGAGCUCUAAACCCUAAUGCAAAACAAAGACUUCCAAGUAAAUGAAUAUCACUCCGAUUGCUUUUUGACGUUGACGUGCUGCAGGGAAAGAUGCGAUGAUGAAUGUGCUUGAUUGCUUUUUUACUCUGCCAAUAGUAUGUGUACGACUGUCAUAUUUUUCUCUAAUGCUUGACGACUUUCUAGAUUGAAACCAGAGUAUAAUUUGAUUACCAAUACCAUACCUCUGAGCAAGGACAGGAUGGUCAUUUUGUUAGUCAACGAGAAUCGCCAUUGUUAUUUUGGGUCAGGGUGGAGGAAACAUUGUCUCCACUUGCAGCUGAGAUUGCUUCCAUUACAUUAUUGAACACUGGUGGUAUGGUGCAGCAGAGAAAGGCAAUGGCAGCAGUACCACUGCCAUAUAUCCUACAAAAUGGUGGACGUGCUGGACGAGUGGAACACUGACGUGCUGAAACAAGAAGUUGAGCAGCACGAACGAGAAGCUGACAAUGUUGAUCCUAAGAGCAAGAAGAAGAAGCUAACUUUCUGUGUCACCCCUAGUUGCUUUUGUUUUCGAAAAGCAAGAGAGGUAACUUGAAUGAGAGGUUGUGUGUGAUUAAUUGAUGAGCAAAGAAGAAACGCUCUUGUGUUUCAACCCAAUGAGAACGAUAUUCAACAAGUACCUAAACAACAAGAGACUUCUCCCUUUGUCGACAUGUCUAAGGUGUUUGGCCGAGAAAACGAAAAAGAUAUGUUUUGAUAACAAAGUUGUUAAUUGAUGGUAGAGAAGAUAGGGUGAUCCUUAUCAUCCCUAUUAUUAUGAUGCCAAUGUUGACGCCUGUUUGAUAAGAAAAUAUUGGUUUGUGUACCCUUUUUAUGAGAUUAAGAUUGCCGAGCCAUAAGCCGUGAUAACACGCCUAGUUCAAAUGAUCAGUUGAGCCAUGUCUUAGAAUCUAUGUCAACAUCCAUCGACGGCAAGAGGUUUCUCAUUGUCCAAGAUGCCGUGUGGACCUAUGACCAUGAAAAGUGGGACCAGUUAAGGGUAUCACUUAUUUAAAGUGGUGUUAAAGGCAUUAGAAUAUUGGUAACCACAAGACAACGAGAUGUUGUAGAUAUAAUGAGAGCAACAAGUGACAAAGAUGGAAUUUGUCUACUUUGUUUUUUCCCUUGCAUCUUUGUUACUCUUACUUUUUUGUUAUUGAUCAUUCUGGGAGAGCUGAGUAAAGACUAUUGUUUUUAAUCUUCAACCACAUGGUGUUUUUUUCUAGGCAAGUAGAUGAGUUUAAGGCGUUUGAAGAGAUUAGUAAAAAAAUGGUAGAUAUAUGUAAAGGUUUGCCUCUCACCGCGAAAGAUUUAGGCAAUCUCAUGUGCAACAAAUGAGUGAAUGACUAUUUAUCUUGAAUAGUAAGAUAUGGAAUUGAAAAGAGAUGGAGCAAAAAGUUUUCCAACCACUAUUUCUAAGUUCUUAUGAUUUGGUCAACAGUCAAAUAUUGUCUUUCAUGUUGUGCUAGUUUUCUUAAAGAUUAUGAGUUUGAUAGAGAUAACUUAGCUAAUAUAUAGAUGUCGCAAGAUUAUUUUAAUUCAAAAUAGAAUAAAGAUAAGAAAGAAAUUGGUCAAGCAAUUUUUCAUAACUUAGUAGCAGAGUCUUUUCAAGAUUUGAUGAAAGAUAGUGUUUUACCAUUAUAGGUUGCAAAUUGCAUGAUAUUAUUCAUGACUUUGUGCAAUCACUCACUAAUAAUGAAUGUUUGAUCAUCAACAUUGAGGGUGUUAUAGAGGUUUUGGAUGAAAAGGUUUGCAUUUGAUCGUAAUAAUGGCAUCAAACAAUUGCCGACUUUCACCUUCUAAUGCUUAUUACAAUGAUGAAAUAGUUAAAUAAUCUUUAUAUUACGUAAAUCUUAACAAUAAUGAUUUAAAAAAUGAACGGCUGAGUUUAUCCACGAGCUUAAAUUAUUCUAUAACUUUUCAUUUUGGGUGUAGUGGGCUAAGGUCGUAUUAGGGGGAGGGGAUAAAGUGCUUCUGUGCUUGUCCUAACUUUUGGCUUCAGGUUAAAGUGCUUGUGAAAUAAGUCAUUUUGCUGCUUCUUAGGCCUGGUUUGGUACUGAGAUGAUUCUGAAAAAAGCUGGUAUCAAAAAAAGCUUGGAGCUUUUUUUGUGUUUGGUAAACAUUCAGCUUCAGCUUUUUUUCAAAGUUUUGGAUGAAAAAAAGCCAAAAACAAGAAUCUGCAAAACCCAGCUUUGAAAAACCGGUUUUUUUUCACUUCUGUUUUACAUAAAAGUUUACCAAAUACUAUAAUACUGUUUUUUUUUUUUUCAAAAGCAUUUUUACAAAAAAGUUUACCAAAUACUCUACAGCUUUAUUUCACAGCCGCUUAUUCUCACAGCACAACAUAAGUAGUUUUUUUUCAAAGCACAUAAAUAUCAAAUCAACCCUUAGCCACCUAUCAUUAGCUGGCCGUCCCUAAAGAGGGCACUUGCGACGACUUCUGAAGUCUUCAAAGAAAACAGAACCACAGAAACACCACAUGUAGAAUUAUCCUCUACUUUUGUCCUAUUAUUUGAAUUGACAUUUUUGUGUUCAAAGUUUAAGACUAGAAAAUCCAUGCGAUUGAAAAGGGAUUCGGACUCUUAGUUUAUGUUAGGUGGACUAGUAAAAUGGACUAAUGGGAUUGUAUGGUUUAAAAUGAGUGAUCCAGACUCCGGAGCUCCAGACACAAAUUUACAGAGGAUCUCAAUUCCUAUUAUUUAACUUCAUAUGAACAAAUUAUUUACAAUUUCCAUCAAAGUUUAUACAAAUUAACAUUGACCAAUGGAACAACAAUUUGCUCAUUCAUCGAGCCAGUCCAGAUCGAAAUGUUUCUCCACCCCCUGAACAUGAAGCUCCGGCAAUGCCUUCUCUGCAUCUCUCCACAUCCAAGAAAUAUCCUCGUCGCACACUACACGGCGCAGAGACUGUAACGCUGCAGCGGAUUUCGGCAGAUUGCUAAUUUGUGAACAUUCCCUUCAUGUCAAUCUUUUCCAAACUUGCUAGCUUACCAAUUUCCAUGGGAAGGCAUCUCAAAUUUACACAUUGGGAAAUGUCAAUGUAUUUCAAACGAAGUAGCUCGCAAAUGCUGCGCGGAAGCGUCUGCGGUGCCGGACAUGCGUAUAGCCUUAGGAUCUAUAGAGAUUGCAACUUUCCCAAAUCAUCUGGGAGCUGGUAUAGGCAGUUGGUUACGCUCAAGUUCUUGAGCGAAGGCAUUGCGCAAAUGCACGAAGGCAGCUGGAAUAAGUCAUCGCAAUGAUCAAUCGUGAGCUCUGUGAGCCGAGGAAAGGCCGAGUGAUCAAGGCUAUUACUGAUCUUGCAUAGGAUUAUAAAAAUUUUCCUCAGAUAUUUCAGGGGUAUGGUAGAUAAUUGAGGGACGGAUACUUUUUCGAGCCAGAAGCCUCUCAAGUUGGAUAAAUUUGGGAAGACUGAAAAGCCACCUAGGAUGGCAUUCGAUGUACUGUAAUUCAUGAUUAUCAGGCAAUCUUCAAUCGAUGGCCGGCCAGAUGACUCGUUUUAGCCAUCUGGCCCUCCAAGAUUCUCCAAGAUAUUAAUAUUUUAAUAAACAGUACAUGGUCAUAUUUGCCUCCGUCUCCAACAGAGGGUCAGAGGGCCAGAGGGCUCGUUUUAGCCAUCUCACAAAAAACCGUCUCCAACGGAGGGCAAAAGGCUAAACAUAAUUUAUUAUUUAAAUUUAAAAACUACAACUUAAAUUUAAAAACAACAAUAACUUAAAUUUAAAAACUACAACUUAUAUUUAAAAACUACAACUAAAAUUUAAAAAUGACAAAUUAAAUUUAAAAACCACAACAACUUAAAUUUAAUAUCCAUAAUCAUUAUUAUCUUCAUCAUCCACCAUCGUAGGAGUAUAGUCUGUCACAAACAACUGCCGUCGGCUCAUAAUUUCUUUUUUUUUUCCUAUCAAAAUAGGCCUUACUCAUUGGAGUAUAAUUCGAAGUGUUCAUUUCCAUAUUCUUAUCAUCUAUCUCUUCUUGUAUUUGCUUGGCCCGUUUUUCAUGCCUACACUUCCUUUCUUCCGCCUUAAGGGCAUUUUGCUCCGCCAAUAAUCGCAAUGAGGCCGCUACUUCAUGUUGAGCGGCGUAAUCAGCAUUUGUCUUGCCUUUUUCCCUCAACCUUCGGGCCUUGUUUCGUCCCAUAGCCCUAGGUAAAGAACUUUCGGACAGAGUUGGAUUUUCUACCCUUAUUUGUUGAAUGGUAGGAGAUUCAUCUUCAUUCAUAGCUACAGAUGGGGAUGCAGCUCCCAAAUGAUCCACUCUAUGUUGAGGUGAAUCUUCAAAUAACACCCACCCUUUACAAAUUUCCCAAUAACCGUGAAAUUGAAAGGGUUUUGAGCUGCCCUCCAUAUACAAUUCCUCCGCUUGGCGUACCUAGAAAAUAUAAUUACAAAAAUUUUAGGAAAUUAAUUCAUUAAAUUAAAUGUAAUAUAAUGACAUAUAAUUACAAAAAUUAAAUGUAAUAUAAUUAAACAUUUAAAAUAAACUGUGAAAACACUAACUUCGUCAUAGUAAUUGGCGCCGCUUUCAAGUCUACUUGCGGCUGCUAAUAGUGCUUGAUGCCAUUUAUUCAAACUUGGAUGAAGAUGUUUCUUCCAUCUUGAAGAACAACUUUCGUGGUUUCAGGUAUUCGGUGGAAUGGUGCCUUCGUAGAACUCUAUGUAUUUUUUGAUACACGAGUCCAAACACCUUCACUUGUUUGAGAAAUCCCCCUCACACUAUCUUCUGAGACCCAUCUAUAAGCCUUGCAAAGAGCUUCAUCUUCUUUUCGGGUCCAAUCCCUACCUUUCAUUGUAGAUGAGGCCUUUUUUUUGAAAAAAAAUGAAGGAAAUUAUUGAAAAAUUGAAACAAAUAUUAUAGAUGAAGGAAAUAUUGGAAAAUAUAUUGAAGGAAAUAUUGAAGGAAAUAUUGAGAAAUAAAUUGAAGGAAAUAUUGAGAAAUAUAUUGAAGGAAAUAUUGAACAAUAUUGAAGGAAAUAUUGAACAAUAUUGAAGAAGGAAAUAUUGCAAAUGAAGUGAAGAAUUGAAAGAACUUCACCAUAUUUAUAGAAGAAAAGAAAUGUUUAAAUGAAAAAAAAAAAACCCAAUGGCUAGCUGACUCAGCUAGCCAUUAUAUUAAAAAAAAAUUCAAACUAUUAAUGUCGGUUAUAACCGACACUAAUAGUAAAUAAAUUUUUUUUUUUGCCUAUGAAUACCUAUUACUGUCGGUUAUAACCAACAACAAUAGGAAAACUAUAAAAAAAAAAAAUAAAAAAAAAAGCCAGCCAGCAGCCAGCCCUUUGGCCCUUUGAAAUUCCGUGGGGCCCUCCCAGAUUCCCGAGCCCUCUGGCCUAACCCUCGGUUGGAGACGGUUUUAGGGUUAUUUUCGGCCCUCUGACCCUCUGGACCCUUUGGACCCUUCGGUUGGAGAUGACCUUAAUGCCCUCAACUUUGGCAUGUUUGCAAUGAAAUGAGGCAUAAGGUACUUGUCGUCGGAUGAAAAAUUCAAAAUCAGCACUUCACAUUUAGGAAACUCUAUCUGGAACCAGUCCAUCUCUUUCAUUUCACCUGCAUAAUCAAGUGAUGAAUCGGUUUAAAUCAGCACGAAAGAGUAAACAUAAGGAAUAACCUCAUAAUUGAUAAAUGCAAUUACUGAAACAUGUUAAUACCGGUAUGAACUGAUACAAUCAUCGCCUGAAAUGGCUGAUCGGAAUCCCUCUCCCAUUCUCUUGGAAGUUCAGUCUCUCUUCUUGGCAUAAGCAAUCGACUGCGUUUGUUCACGCUGCCAUCAUUGCUCAAAUGAAAAGCAAGGUCCCUCGGCACAUCAUGCUGUGUAACAGAUAUGUCGUAGCAACUGCUAUAUAUGUCUCCAUCUCUGCAAUAUCAAUAUAUACAAAGGGUUCAAAUCAGAAACUAAUCACACUCAAAUAAAAUAAACAAAGUACCGAACUUUAAGCAUCGUACCUUGCAUCUUUCACCAGGGUGAGGAGAUUUUUGUUCGAAUGCUCGACAAGAAUAGCAAACGCUUCUUCUUCGUCGAUGCCAUGUAUUUCAACCCACAUAUUGGUAAGAACAUCAAGAGGGAUCUUCUUGUCUUCUGGAAAUGCACCCAAAUCGAAGAAACAUGAUUUAACUUUUUUGGAUAAGCUGUCGAGACUCGUUACCAUCCGUUGAAGUAGAUUGUUCUCAUGGGACUCACAAAAUGCUUCCCCUUUCGACAACUUGCUCCUUGCAUUUGCCCAACACAAUUCUGGCUGGUCUUUCAAUGAAGCUCCAAUCACUUUGAGAGCCAAAGGUGUUGCGAGUUAUAUAUUAGUUAAAGUGUAAAUAGUAGUUUAUUGUUCCACAUUGGUGAAGUACAUAUGUAAUACCAAUUGUAACUCCUAUAUAUACUCCACUUUGGAGAUUAAUGAAUAUAUAAGAAAUUCCCAAAUAUUGUCAUAUAUAUUUUUGGUAUUUAUCAUGUUUAGUUUAAUAUUGGUAUUUACCAUGUUUAGUUCAAUAUGGUAUCAUAGCAGUUCGCUCUUGGUGACCUGUGUGCUUUAAUUUUGUGCCCAUAUUUUUCGUGAUUUCCUUCGUGAAAAAAAAAAAAUUGAAUAGUGUCGCGCUACAGUACAAUGCGUGAACAGUAGUCUGCUUUGUGAACAGUGGUCAUCUACAGUGCCAUGUACAGUGAUUGCUACAGUACCGUGAAUAGUGCUCUGCUGCAAUGCCGUGAACAGUCUGCUGCUACAGUGUUCUGGUAAAUUAUUUUCAUUCCGCUGCGUAUCUUUUGUGCCUUUAUUGUUCGUGAUUUUGUUCAAUGGCUCAAUAUAAUCAUCGUGUUGUUAUGCAUCUUGGUGGAACAAAUAAAUGGAUAAUUGAUACUGGGGCCACUGAUCAUGUGACUAGUGACCUUAGAGUGUUUGAUGAGUUAUGUGACUAUGUUCGUGAUCCGUAUAUUACUAGUGCAAAUAGAGCACAUUCCCCUGUGAAGGGUAAAGGCACUAUCUCUUUGACUCCAACCUUAUCAUUAGUCCGUGCUUUACUUGUCCCUGAUGUUAAGUGCAAUCUUUUGUCGGUAGGAAAACUUCUUGAUACCUUAUAUUGUUCUGCUCACUUCUACCCUACGUAUUGUUAUUUUCAAGAUAUUUAAACUCAGAAGAUAAUUGGUCAUGGUAAAAGAAUAGGGGAUUUGUACAUCUUGACUAUGGAGGAUACUGUUGUUUCUGGUUCAAAUAAUCAUCAAGUUUUAAGUGCUAAAGUGGAUGACAGACAUCAAAUUUGGUUGUGGCAUCGACGAUUGGGACAUCCAUCAUUCAGUUAUAUGAAACAUCUAUUUCCUUCUUUGUUUCGCACUUGUAGUGAUUUGGAGUUCAAGUGUGAAACAUGUGUCAUGGCUAAGAGUCAUCGUGCUUCCUUUCUCGUAAAUGAUUCUAAAGCUACUUUACCAUUUGAUUUGAUACAUUCUGAUGUGUGGGGUCCGACGAAAGUUACUUAUAAUGGAUUCCUUUGGUUUGUUACUUUUAUUGAUGAUUGUACUCGGUUAACUUGGGUGUUCUUGAUGAAGAAUAAGAGUGAUGUUCCGUUACUUCUUCAAGAAUUUUGUACAAUGGUGUCUACUCAGUUCCAAACCAAAAUUAAGGUCUUUAGGUCUGAUAACGGAUGAGAAUAUGUGAAUCACACUUUGGCAUGUUUUUUUCGUGAUCAUGGUAUUAUUCACCAGACGACUACUCCAUUUACACCCCAACAAAAUGGUGUGUCCGAACGGAAGAAUCGUCAAAUAAUGGAGGUUGCUCGCUCCUUGAAAUGUGUUCCUAAUCAUUUGUGGGGCCAUGCUGUUUUGGCUGCUGUGUAUUUGAUCAAUCGUGUUCCGAGUAGGGUUCUUGAUUUUUAGACACUAUUUGAUGUACUACAAAAAUAUGUUUCUCUUGUUUCUGUAUCCAAGCUUCCUCCGAAAGUGUUUGGGUGUAUUGCGUAUGUGCAUGUCUACUCACAUCAGCGGAGUAAACUUGAUGCAUGUGCUCUCUGGUGUGUCUUUAUUGGGUAUGCUAACAAUAAAAAAGGCUAUAAGUGUUAUCAUCCUCCGACUCAAAAAACUUAUAUUACCAUGGAUGUCACCUUCCAUGAGGAAGUUUUGUAUUUUGUGAAGCCCUCUUCCGACUCUCCACUUCAGGGGGAGAGGGGGAGUGAAGUGCAUAUUCGAAGAGAUGGUAUGAAUGAUGUGUUACAGGCAAAGUUGGGAACAUAACCUAUUAUGUUGCGUGAUACUGAUCAGUCAACUACAGAUAGUGAUCGGUUACCUGUUAUUCCUGGAACUAUUUCUACUGACGAUAGAUCAGAUGUGCCCAGCGAGUUGCCUGUUAGUAUGUCUGACGAAUUACCUUCUGAUGAUCGGUUACCUGCUGUUGAUAUGUCUAACGAGUUGCCUGAUGAUGGUUCGUCCAGUGAUGAUUCUUCUAACAGUUUGGUACAAGAUGGUGGCAUACAUGAGGUAAAUUCUGACGAUUCUUCUACUUAUCAGUUGCCUCCACGAGCUAAUCGUGGAAAACCUAAAGUACAAUAUGAGCCUGAUAUGCAUGCCAAAGCCAAAUAUCCCAUCAACAAUUAUGUGUCUACUCAUCGUUUAUCCAAAUCAUAUGCAUCUUACAUAUGUCAGCUAUCUAGUGUAUCGAUUCCAACAAAAUUGCAAGAUACUUUGUCUGACCCUAAAUGGGUUAAUGCCAUGCAAGUUGAGAUGGAAGCAUUGGAAAAAAAAUUCUACUUGGGAUUUAGUUCCUUUACCAAACGGGAAGAAAGCCGUUGGAUGUAGAUGGGUGUUUACUAUUAAGCACAAAGCAGAUGGUUCUAUUGACCGGUAUAAAGCCAGAUUAGUUGCUAAGGGUUGUACUCAAACCUAUGGGGUAGACUAUCAGGAGACCUUUGCUCAUGUUGCCAAAUUUAAUACUGUGCGUGUUCUUCUGUCCUUAGCAGCAAACCAGGAUUGGCCUAUGUUGCAGUUUGAUGUUAAGAAUGCUUUUCUUCAUGGUGAUCUUAAGGAGGAAGUGUAUAUGGAUCUCCCACAUGGUAUUGGAACAUCUCCUGGAAAAGGUGUUGUAUGCAAGUUACGAAAGGCCUUGUAUAGUUUGAUACAAUCUUCUAGAGCGUGGUUUGGGAUGUUUACAAGUCCAAUGAAGAAAUUUAGGUAUAUCCAAAGUCAUUCAGAUCAUACUUUGUUUCUAAAGCGACAAAAUGCUAAGCUAACUGCAUUGAUUAUUUAUGUUGAUGACAUGAUAGUGACUGGUGAUGAUCAGAAGGAGAUACAACGCCUUCAAAAGUACCUAGCUACUGAGUUUGAGAUGAAAGAAUUAGGUGAAUUGAAGUAUUUUCUUGGAAUCGAGGUUGCAUGAUCCAAGCAUGGUAUUUUUCUGUCUCAACGGAAAUAUAUUCUUGAUUUGUUAGCUGAAACGGGUAUGUUAGAUUGCAAACCUGUUGAUACUCCGAUUGAGCAAAAUCAUCGUCUAGGCUUAUUUCCAGAUCAAGUUCAUACUCAUAAGGAACGAUAUCAGAGACUUGUGGGGAGAUUAAUUUAUUUGUCUCACACUCGCCUUGACAUUGCUUAUGCAGUUAGUGUGGUAAGUCAGUUUAUGCACUCACCUAGUGAAGCUCAUAUGGAUGCAGUAACCCAUAUUUUGAGGUACUUAAAGAUGGCUCCUGGUAGAGGCCUGGUUUUCUCUAAGAAUGGUCAUUUGAAUGUCAAAGGGUAUACAGAUGCAGAUUGGGCAGGUUACAUCACUGAUCGGCGAUCUACAUCUGGAUACUUUAUGUUUGUGGGUGGUAAUUUAGUUACUUAGAGAAGCAAGAAACAAAAAGUGGUGGCUAGGUCAAGUGCAGAAGCUGAGUUUCAUGCUAUGUCGCAUGGUAUAUGUGAGUUGUUGUGAUUGAAAAAAUUGUUGAGAGAUCUUGGGUUUAACUCCAAAGGUGCUAUGAAACUUCAUUGUGAUAACAAGGCUGUUAUUGAGAUUGCUCAUAAUCCAGUGCAACAUGAUCAAACAAAACAUGUGGAGAUUGAUCGACAUUUCAUUAAGGAAAAAUUGGAUGCUAGAAUUAUUAUGUUUCCGUUUGUGAGAUCUGAAGAUAAACUUGAUGAUGCUCUUACUAAGGCUGUGUCUAAUAGUGUGUUUUCCAACUCGCUUGACAAGUUAGGCAUGCGUGACAUCUUUGCACCAACUUGAAGGGGAGUGUUGUGAGUUAUAUAUUAGUUAAAGUGUAAAUAAUAGUUUAUUGUCCCACAUUGGUAAAGUACAUCUGUAAUACCAAUUGUAACUCCUAUAUAUACUCCACUUUGGAGAUUAAUGAAUAUAUAAGAAAUUCUCAAAUAUUGUCAUAUAUAUUUUUGGUAUUUACCAUGUUUAGUUUAAUAUUGGUAUUUACCAUGUUUAGUUCAAUAAAAGGAAGCCGCUUACACUCAUUAACAAUCUAAAUUUCAAGAAAACAAUUAGUUGCCGAUGUAAGGAAACAUAAAAUAACCCAUUUUGAUUAGCAGAAAAUGGAGACUGGAGGCUUGCGACCAUGUUUGGCGGUAUAACUUAGACCAAGUAAGUUCUAAAAUUUCCCAUCUAUUCCCCCCCUCAUUUCAUUUCAACCCUUGUUCUAAAAUGGGGUAAGUCUUAAAACUUAAAAAAAAGCCAAAUUCCGGCCAAAAUUUAGGCCAACGUUAGUGGUGAAGCCCACAUGUGAGAGUGAGAAACGACAAAUGAAAUUCACCCACUAGGCGAGGGUGCACGCCAAGCCCAGCAGGUCACCCGACACACCCGUGGGCUUGCUGCCCGCUUGUUGCCAUGCAAUCAUGAGCCUAACCCACUUGUUGCCAUGCAAAUAUGAGCUUAACGGCUCUAUUUUUAUCGUGCGGUCUGAUUUAAACAGACUGUUGGUUUAUUCAACAGCCUGCGUUUAAUUUUUUUUAGUGUUUUAUAUUUCUAUAUUUAUUGAAUCCAAGAGCUGUGAUCGACUAUAAUCAAAUUUAACUGUAAAAAAAAAAAAAACAAAGAAGAUCUAAUUUCCUAAAUUUAAAUCCAAAGGCUAGAAUAAUUAAAAAAAAUUAUUUAUCUCAAAAUUCACCCAAAAACUCUAUAAAUACCUAUGUAUUUGUUCAAACAUCCACACAAAACUCACUUUUCUUAUAUAAUUCUUCCAAUUUUUCUAUCUACCAUCUUCCAAAACCAUUUGUAUUAAUCAUGGUUUAUUAAUGAUCCGAUAUAGUGAUUUGUUCAUAGUGUUUCAUGAGUUUCAUGUGUCAAUUUAGUAAUUUUUAAUAUUUAUCGGAAUUUAAAUAUUUUUAAGUUAAAAUGUUCAUAAAAUUAAUUUAGAAUAGUCUACGUAAUUUUUUAAAGUUAAUUAAAAAAUAGUCUAAAUUCAUUCUUUAAUAAUCUAAGGCUAAAAAUUUAGACUAGAAGGGUUGGAGCAGAAAAGUUGUUUCUGGGUCAAAACCUAAAUUUUCUAGGCUAAAAUUUUUUAGUUUUAACCCAAGAGGAGAUAGUCCUAUAGAAGUGAUUGUGCAUUAUAGAAGCACUUUCUAGAGGUUUUCAAAGAAGCAAUUGUAUUCUAGCAAAAGCGCUUAAGAUUGUGCCUGCUUGACCAAAUUUUUAUCAGUCGCAGGAGGAAUGGAGUUUUGGCCAAAAGCAGAGUAACAAAACAGAGAGAGUGCUUCUUCUUCCCUCAACAACUGCACAUCAUAAGUGGCAUCGAGAACGGUUGGGAAUUUGAAACGUGAGACAACAAGAAACUUCCAGCCCGGGAUUUUAAGGAGCAGCGGCACAAGUACUGCCACUGACCACACAUCAUCCAAAACCACCAGAGUUCUCGUUGCGGUGAUCCACUCGUACUGCAAGUUCCAUCUGGACACUGUGAUACUCAGGAACAGAAUUCUCUCGCUGAAAUAAGCUGCAUUCGAUCGGAUGAGCACAAAACAGAGUCAGCGUUUGAUUCUAAAGAAAACUCAAAUUCUAGAGAACCCGUUAGAGCAAAUUCAAAUUUUAGAAUACCAAUCAAAGAAUAUUCUCAAAAGAAGCAAAAAAAAUUGAUUAUAUCAUCUGAAAAGCAAGUGAAUUUUCCAAAAAAAUAUCAACUUGUUUUUAAUAAAAUAAAAGCACUUCUAGCAAAAUCGAUUAGGAUCACAACUUCACCAGUAAGCAAUUAGAAAUAGGCACUCAGUUACUUACAUCUAACUUGAUCAUCCUUGCAAAGCUCUCUGGCGAGAGUGGUUUUUCAAGAGCCACCAAUCCCACAAAUCCCAACGACCCUGAAGUCCUCCCUCCCAAAAAUCAUUCUCUUCACCGUCUUCAUCCCCACCCUCAAUCCCAACACCACCGAAUUGCUCACCUCCCACUUCAUCUGCCCUUCCUCCUCCACCCUCCUCACAGCCUCCCCCAUCCACCCACCACCGCCACCCCCGCCGACACAAGUCCCAAUCUUUAAGGCCCCAAGCUGCUGUUCCAUCAUCUGGCUCGACGCCGUUGAGCUGGAACUGCCGUUCAACCGGUAGCUCGACGCCGAAGUACUUGAUUUCUUGGAUUAUGGGGAGGAGCUCCUCGAUUGAGGAUUUGAGUUGCUCGGCGGUUCCUCUGCUGUGGCAUGAUUUGCAGGAGAUGGCGAUUAAGGUUUUCAGGAGCUCCAUCAUGACCUUUUCGAUGAAGAAGUCCGUCAUUGCCCUUGUUGGUGGUGGUGGGAGCUGUGCGACUAUGGCGGGUGAAUUGGUUUGUCUUGUUAUGGAGACAGCAUUUCGGUUACCCCACAUAUUUUUUGAAUACACCACACUUAAAAACGUAAUAUUAAACAACUUGUAACUCUAAUAUGAAAUGACUAAUCGAGCCCUCACACUUGCUCUUACUCUCCAUUGUAGAACAAAACCCUAAAAACACAAACAAGUUGAUGAAAAUAUAUCUUUUGAUCAACGGAACAAAAAAUCAAGUUUUGCUCCUCGUUCAUUCGCUGGUUUUCACAUUCGAGAAAUUAUUUAAAUAAUGGAAUGAAAAUUUGACUUUUUGCAAAGCCCUACUCUAAUUAGAACUAACAUGACCUUAUAAGAACAAUUCUUACCAUUUGUCCAUCAGGUUUCUUAGAAUCCGACGUGAUUGUUCUAGAAAAUUUGACAGAUGUUUAUAAAUCAAACGGCAAGAUAGAGAUUUUAUACAACAAUUUAAUUCAUCUUUCUUGUCUUUAAAAUAUGGAUUAUUCUUUUGUUUAAAAGAGAUGAAGAGUUUGAUGUGUGGUUAAUUAGUUGAUGAUGUGAGAUGUGAAGUGUGGGGUGUAUGAGAUGUGAGAUGUGAGGUGUGAGGGUAGUAUUGGAAAAUAUGUGGGGUGUGUUAAGAAAAAUUUUAAUUUAAAAAGUAAAUGUGGGGUGUAGUCAAUAAAAUGUGGGGUGUUAAUAAAACAACCCUUCCAUAAUCCAAUUAAAAGGAUGAUAUAAAUAUGUGGUAAAAAGUAAUAUUUUUGUUUAAACAUGGCUUUUUCAGCAUAUGUCAUCAAAUCCAGAUCUUCGCCAGAUCUUUUUUGUGAGGAUUUCAGAAAUCUGUAAAUCGUGCGAUCAUAUAUUAUUUUAAAUAUUUUUAUUUAAAAAUAAAUAUAAACAAUAGUUAACGAAAACUGACCACACGAUAUAGAUGAACAGACACAAUUCACGGAUCUCUAAAAUUCUCACCAAAAGGAUUUGGAGAGGAUCCUAUUAGUAUGUCAUCACUUUUAAUUUACUUCUUUUAUACAAAUGAUAAUGUAUGAUGAGAGAUUUUUCAAUGUGAUUGGCACACGAAGUGGUACACCACGUGUCAUUAUACAAAUAGUGUGAUAUCUGAGUUACAAAGUUAAUAACUUAAAAAAAUAUAAAAAAUUACCAUUUACAUAAAAACACAUGAUGUACUACCGUGUUUCCGUCACAAUAAAAAUUUCUCAAUGUAUGACGAGGAGUUGAAUUCUCUAUGCAAGGAUGAAUGUAUUUGACCAAUUGAAUUAUACGUCUUCUGCUAUCACAACAAAACCACGUGUGUUUUGAUGGUCUUAUCUAACCACAUUUACUCAUUGUGUGAGUUGCUUUAAUACCACUUUGUCAUGAGAAUGACUUAUAAACGGGUUUAUCAUCAGUGUAGUGUCUAGUUUUAAUACAACAACGAUAUGUAUAUGGUUGUCAACACGUGGCAUGGAUGCCACGUGGCCAUGAACUCUUUUCAUGUAAGUAGCCUUUUGCAUUCGUAGUUAGUGAUGCCAAAGAGCAAUUUUUUUGUCGAUGCAGAGUGCAUUGCAAGAGAAGUAUAGUGACAACAGGAGUAGGAGAUGCCUAUUUAUACGAGGCUAAUGUUAGGAAGAUUAAAUUUAUAAACACAAAUUUUGUAAAUUAAAUUAAAUAAAAAUUGAUAAACGUAGUCAUUUUCUAUUAAUGACAUAUUAUAUAAUUUGUAAAUUUUAUCUCACAGAUAGUCUCCCUAACAUUUUCAUUUGUCCUAUUCAUAGUGACAAAAAUCCUUUUGUUUGCUUGGAUGAGUGGCUCCCUCACCUAACAUGGAUUUGGAUCCUCUCCUGAGCUAAUGGAGAGGAUCCUCCUAACCAAUCAUCUUAGGCCGUUGGAUUUUUAUCCAACGGCUACAAAUAGGGGGAUCCCUUUAAGGAGAGGAUCCAAAUCCACCUAACAUGCCCAACAAGAUCCUCUACGGAUCCCUUUGGUGAGGAUCCUGAGGAUCCGUGAAUUGUAUACGUUCAUCGUAUAUUAUGCAAUCAGUUUUUUUCAAGUACUGUUUGUGUUUAAUUUUAAAUAAAAAUAUUUAAAAUAAUUUUUUAUCAUAUGAUGUACGAUAAACUGACAUGAUUGACUGGUCUCAAAGAUCCUUACAAAGAGGAUUCGGGGAGGAUCCGGAUUCCUAACAUGCAAGUUAUGCAAUGCAAGACCUAAACCCUAAACUUUAAACCCUAAUGUAAAGGAAUUGGAUCUGCUCAGGACCUUAGUGUCCUGAGCCUAGGGAUCACUUCAUCUGGACGACAUAAAUUUAAUCCAAUGGUCCAUAUUAACUCAUUUUUCUGGCCCACCACACAAAACCAACAACUCUAAUUUCUUUUACAUACCAAUUAGUGGUCCAGAUGAAAUGAUUCAUAGGCUUUGAACACUAAGGGUGCGUUUGGUACGUGGGAUGAGACGGAACAGAGUGGGACAUACGCGUUCCGUACCACAUUUGGUGCGCUAAAAUUACGUGGAAUGCGUGUCCCACGGAAUGAAAAUGGGUUAGAUUUUGGUUCCCCCUCCCCUUGGAACGGGUUUUUCCAUCCCGUGGGACACAAAAUUAUAAUUUUUUUGGACAACAAUACCCCUCUUAUUUUUCAUUAAUUACAUUGUCUACCUCCCUUUCUUUUCCGUAACCUCCCUCUCUUCUACCCUUGUCUCUUCCGUAGCCCUCCUCUUGCUCCACCAUAAACCCAGUAACCCAACUGCUAACCCAAUCCCAGCAAACCCAUCCGACGAUGACAACGUCACCAUAGCAAACCCUCUUCUUCUCCGGCACCGUCUGGCGUCACGAACAUGACCCCAUCUCAUCAUCUUCGUCCGUGUAAGCGAGGUGGAUCUGAUCCGGAACACGACCCGAUUCGAAGCUAAGCUCGUCAUCUGAGGUGGCGAACAAGUGGGCGGUGCCGGGGAGGGGGUUGUGGUCCUGGUCGAGGUGGUUUGGGUCGAAAAAUCCGGAAGGAGUAGUUGAAUCAGAGAUUGACCAGUGGGAGGAAAAUAGAGCCCGACCCAGAUUUCCAUGUGGGGGCAGAAGAGAGGAACUUGUAUCCUAUAAAGCUGUCGUGGUGGGAGGAAGGGGGUGAGUAGAUGCCGAGCCAGUCGAGUCGGGAGGGCGAGUCGAUGCCGGACCAUUGGGUUAAGACGGAGUCGCCCGAUUUGGAGAGCGAGGUUGGGGAAAGAGAGAGUGAAACAGUUUGGUGGGUCGGAGGGAAGAAGGUGGAUGCUGCACGGAGGAUGAUGACAACGCUGCAGGGAAGACGAUGACGAUGCUGCAGGAGGACGAUGACGUAGUUGCAAAAAUUGAUUGAAAUGAAUUUUGGGAUUUUUCUGUGUUUGAUUUGAAGAGAAAGAAAUUGUUUGGGGGUCUGAUUCGUCAUUUUUUUUCUUCUUGUAAUUGUUUGGGGGUCUAAUUGGUUGCCGAGAAAACGAAGGAAAACGACGACGCUGCAGAAAUUGUACAAACAAGGCUAAGUUAAUCAUUUAACACGAAAUCCGAACUGUUCUGUCCUAUACAUACCAAACAUAACACGAACCUCUAUUUCGUUCCGUUUCGUCCCGUCUGCGUACCAAACGGUACCUAAGGUCUGGAACAGAUCCAAAUCCUAAUGUAAACACAAAGACUUUUAAGUCAAUGAAUAUAUCACUUCAUAUGCUUUUUGACGAUGACGUGGUGCAUGGAAUGAUGCGAUGAUGAAGGUGCUUGACUGCUUUUUACUCUGCCAAUUUUAUGUGUAUGUUUGUAGGACUGUCGUCUUUUUCUCUAAUGCUUGACCGAUGAGGGUAUUCUUGGAUUCUUUUUUAUAUCCUGAUCAUUUUAUCGCAUAUUAUUCAACUAUUUUUUAUUAUGUGUUAUUUAUAUUUAAUUUUAAAUAAAAAAUUAAAUAUUUUUAUUGUAUAAUGUAUAAUGAACAGAUAAAAUGUAAUAAAUUCUAAGAUCUUCACAAAAAAAAUUCCGGAUGAAAUCCAAAUCCAUGCUUGACGACUUUCUAGACUGAAAACAGACUACCAUACUUCUGAGCAAGGACAAGAUGGUCAUUUUGUUAGUCAAUGAGAAUCACCAUUGUUGGGUCAGGGUGCAGGAAACAUUGUCUCCGAUAUUGAAAAGUGGUGGUAGCUUGCAGUGUUUAAAAUUUCGUUUAUUAUGGAAAUGUUCAAAAAAUAAGAGAAGAUAAGAAAAUGAGAGAUGAAGUCUAAACUUCACUCUAUCACUGGCAGAGCCACAACAAAAGUUAUGGUGGGCUAUAGUCCAGGGAGGAUUUGUAGCAAUAUGUAUGUACUUUAGUGUGUAGCCUAAUAUAAUGGACGAGAAAAGUGCAAGAAGAAUUAUGUUUAAUCGAACUAGCUCAGUGAGUAUUUAGCACAACUAAAAAUAUAAAAAUUACAAUAAAAAUUGUAAUGUCAUUUUGUUCAAGAUUAUUGUGCUUUGAUUUAAUGGGCUUUAUAUUGUUUUCAAUCAAUUUUUUUUUAAGAUACCUUUACUUCUACUUUUAUUGUUUUGUUUUGUGCUAGUUGAGAUGGCUCAAGUAUCAAGAUUUCUAUCUUCUUCUGGUGUUUGCAUCUAAAUAUACAUGAAAUUGGAUGAUUUAUUGUAAUUUUUGCAGUUUGUAAUUGUGAACUCAAUAGAGUUCAUGCUAAGCAAAUUUUAAAGUAUACAAAUACAAAAGUUAAACUCAAGUUUUUGCAUACAAUACGAAUGUAGCAAAAAAUAUCAUUUGAUUUUAGGAUAAUUUUUUUAGCUAGCCCACUCAUAAAGAAAUUUAAAGCUCCGCCCUUACACUCUAUAUAGGAGAAACUCUUAAGUUUAAACUAAAAUCGACAUAAAUCGUCUAUAUUUCUGACGCAACUGUUAAAUAUCCGUAACAAAUGGUCCAUUUAUUGAUGGGCGAACGACGGGGAUUGAACCUGCGCAUGAUGGAUUCACAAUCCACUGCCUUGAUCCACUUGGCUACAUCCGUCCCUGCCCGUACCCCCACACAGGUUUAGAGAAACUCUUUUAUUUCAUCCAAAAAAUGUUUGACAACCCUUAAAGUAUCCGUCGAUAUUUCCACAAAUUUACACAUUGAUAUUAUUAUCGACAGUGAUAUUUUAAAUAAGGAAAACUAAUGAAAAUGACUUGAAAACUUUGAGUUUUAAAGAUUAUGACAAAAUAAAAGGUAAAAUAAAUAGUAUCAGGUUUGACUUUUUAGUGUAAAAUGUGAUUUUUCAUUAAAGUGAACAGUACCAGGUUUUUCAUUAAAACUCCCUUUUAAAUAAGGUUUGCAGCUGAUAUUUCUACUGGUAGAAUAUACGGUGGCAGCAGCACAACCAUAUAUCCUGCAAAGUGGUGGACGUGCUGGAGGAGUAGAACUCUGGCAUGCUGAAACAAGUAGCUGAGCAGCAAGAACGAAAAGCUGAAAAUGUUGUUGUUCCUAAGAGCAAGAAGCAGCAGCUAACUUUCCCUGUCACCCCUAUUGGCUUUUGUUUUCGCCAUGACAUCGCCAACAAGACAAAAGAGUUUAAUGAGAUGUUACUUGUGAUUGACGAGCAAAGAAGAAACACGCAUGUGUUUCAACGCAAUGAAGACGGCAUACAACAAGUACCUAAACGACAAGAGACUUCUCCCCAUGUCGGACAUCUCUAAGGUGUUGUUGAAUGAUGGUAGAGAAAAUAAGAUUGCCGACCGUAAGCGGUGAUGACACCCUUAGUUCAAAUGAUCAGCUGAGUCAUGUCCAUGUCAACAUCCUUGAGGGCAAGAGGUUUUUCAUUAUCCUAGAUGCCGUGUCGACCCACCAUGAAAAGUUGGAUCAAUUAAGGGGAUUUGGAUCCCAUUCCGAUCAAAAUUGUGAGAAUCUUAGAGAUCUUCACAUCUUAACUAUUCAUCGUACAUUGUGCGGUUAAAAAUCAUUUGAAUUAUUUUAUUUAAAAUUAAAUACAAAUAGUACCUAACGAAAACUGAAUGCACGAUGUACAAUGAACGACUAUGAUAUGAGAAUCUCUAGGAUCCCCACAAAGAGAAUCCGGAGAGAAUCCUCAUCCCAAUUAAGGAUACCACUUAUUCAAAGGAGUGCUAAAGGCAAUAGAAUAUUGGUAACCACAAGAUAACAUUAUGUUGUUAAUAUGAUGAGAGCAAUAAGUGACUUGAUCAUUUUGGGGGGAGCUGAGUAUUUCAAUCUUCAACCCCAUGUCGUUUUCUACUAGGCAAGUAGACGAGUCUAAGGCGUUUGACAAUAUUAAUAAAAGAAAUGAUGGAGAAAUGUAAAGGUUUGCCUCUCAAUGCAAAAGUUUUAGGUAGUCUCAUGCGCAACAAAGGAGUGAAUGACUAGGUGUCUUGAUUAGUAAGAUAUCGGAUCGAAAAAGGGGGAGCGAAAAGUUUUCCAACCACUAUUACUAAGUUAUUAUGAUUUGGUCUUAACAGUCAAAUGUUCUUUUAUAUUAUGCUAUUAUAUAUAAUUUUUUUGAGUGAUCAGCACACGAAGGGUAUGAAUCCCACCAAUUAACAUUUGAGUGAUCAACACCAUAAUUAGCUACACAGUUAGCAAUUAGAUUAUAUUCUCUAAAAAUAUGAGAAAUCUGAAGGCUUGUUUUUAGUUAUGCUCUCCAGAACUCUAUUUUAGUCUCACUUUGCUCCAUGUAACUCUAAAGUCACCACUUUACUCCUUGAAAACUCAAAGUUCGUUCCACAUUGACUUGUGUACUCUCUUCUCCCUAAAACUUAUAGCUCGGAUCUUGAAACAUAUGUGAGACCCAUGUGCAAUAAAUUUGGUUAUAAAUAGUCAUGGAAUAUUAAGUUUAAAAGAAAUUGAAGAGAUGAAAAAAAUAAAAAUUAAAUUGAUCAGCUUGCCACACCCAAAUCAAACACACAUGAGAAAUUAACAAAUCUAAAGCAAUGUUGAACGAAUUUUGAGUUUUACAUAGACGACUUUUAAAGUAGCGCGAACUUUGUGUUUCAAGGGGUAAAGUGGAACGAACUUUGAGUUUCAAAGAGUAAAGUGGAGUGAACUUUGAGUUUCAAGGAGUUAAAUGAUGAUUUUUGAGUUACAGAGAGUAAAGUAAAAUUAAAAAUGAAAUUUUAGGGUGUGUAGCUAAAGAUAAGCCAAUCUUAACUUUCACAGAGGACAAUAGAAAAAGAUAUAUGGGACCUCGAGUGAUUAAGAAAAUAUGAAAACGUGCAUUAGACCCAACGUUAUUUGGCCUCAUUGUAUUAAACCGGCCCAUAUUUCUCAUUCCAAUUUUGUAGCUGUGUUAUCGUUGUUAUUAGCCUCGGAAGAAAAACCAGAAAUUGUUUCAUAGAUAUGCAGCAAGCUUCCUCUGCCAAAGGGAUCCGGCAGCUUUAAAUCUUCUUUUGGGUCAUCACCUUUACAAGCUUGGCAAGAUAAAACACCACUGAAAUAAAGGUUCAUUGCAUAUAUAAUAUGGUUUCAUACUGCUUUGCUAUCUUACCAUAUAUCUCUUUGUUUUUAUCUCUUAGACACGUCAUGAUGUAUGCUCGAAUCUCCUUAAUAACGUUGUAAUUUAGGCUAUUUUAUUAAUAGUUCUGUAAUAAUUGAGAAAGUUGCAUAAACCAAGUUAAUACAUGGUGUUGAAGAUUCUUUUGGACUCAUUGUACAAAAUUUCUCAUGAUAUGAAUCGAUAAUUUUAGAUUUUCUUGAAAGAUCUUUUUUUUGGCGAAAAUUCAGCCAAAUCAAGAGUUUACUUAUUUAACAGCAAUUGAACCAAUAGAGAGAUGUAAUAUUUUGUUGCUCAAUACAAUAAUGAAAUAGUUAAAUGAUUUUUCCCAUUUGUCAGUUGCCACAUCCCAGUCUCGACUCCGUCGUAGUACUAUAUUGUCCGCUUUGGGCCCCGGCCACGCCCUCACGGUUUUAUUUUUUGGCCCAUAUUGACCAACGGAGAGAGGGUGAUGUGUCUUAUAUGUACAUGCUCCCCUCCUUAUAGCACGAGGCAUUUUGGGGACUCACUGGCUUCGAUUCCAUUGGAACUUCAAAGUUAAGUGAGUUCGGACGAGAGCAUUCCUAGGAUGGGUAACCCACUGGGAAGUUCUUGUCUGAGUUUCCAGAAACAAAACUGGGAGGGUGUGGUUGGGGCCCAAAACGGACAAUAUCGUGCUACGGCAGAGCCGAGACUGAGAUGUGACAGUAUGGUAUCAGAGCCACUCUACUGUUCAGUGCGAGUGUGCCGACGAAGAUUAUUGGCAAAUCUUGGUGUAGACGAUUACCAUCGAUGAUAUAAUUCUCAUCCUAUUUUACUUUACUGUAUUUAUGCUCUGUAAUCACGUGUGAAUUGGGUUCAUUCCCGCUCACCAACGCACUCUUAUAUUUAUGCACUUUUAGGUUUAAAGUUAUUCACAUUUUCCACAUCACUAUACUUUGUGGCUUCGUCACCCUUCAGGUGUCGACCAGCACAACUCGAUUCAAAGUUCUAGUGGACAUACCGGGUUGGGGUGUGUCACCAGUGGCUCGUUCGGACUAUGUUAGUUUCCAUGGCUUCCACUUCUCAAAUCAGUGUGAAUCUCGGCAUAUAGACUAUGUUUGCUACUGGCUUCCGCUUUUCAAAUUAAUGAACAUCUCGAAAUACAUGUUUAUCUCACUUUCUUUUUUUUUCUUCUUAAUCCUGUGAUGUUGCUCGAUCUGAUUUGCAGGUUUAGACCUUUAGGUUUGGAUUUAGAAGUGUCAAGUUUCAUGUUACCCUGUCCUUUCCAUGUCUCUUUACUGUUUUCAUUGCUAGAGGUAGAAUUUAUGUCCCCUUCUUCUUUACGUAAUUUUUUUUAUCCUUUUUGCUUAUAUUAUGAGAGGUUAGGUUUAAAUCAGUGUAACUUCUUUAUUCGUUAUCAAUAAAAUUCCUCUGAAUCUUUUUCAAAAAAAAAAACAAUUAUUUUAGGUGAAUCUUGACAAUGAUGAUUUAAAAAAUCAACGGUUGUUAUUAAGUUAGUCCAGAAUUUAAAUUAAUCAAUUAUUUUUAAUAUUGGGUGUGGUGUGGUGUGGUGUGGUGUGCUAAAGUCGUAUUAGGGCGGUUGUUAUUAAGUUAGUCCAGAAGUUUAAAUUAAUCAAUUAUUUUUAAUAAUGGGUGUGGUGUAGUGUGCUAAAGUCAUAAGUUAGUCCAGAAGUUUAAAUUAAUCAAUUAUUUUUAAUAAUGGGUGUGGUGUAGUGUGCUAAAGUCGUAUUAGGGGGAGGGGAUAAGUGGGAUGGAUGAGAUCGCGGGAUGUGGGUAGACUAAUUCAAACACUCACGUAAGUUCAAUAAAAUUGGACCCUAUCUGAAGUCACUCAGACGUUACAAGUAUUUCAAAAGUGUUUGUCCUAACUUUUGGCUUCAGGCUAACGUGCUUGUGAAAUAAGCCACUUUGUUGCUUCUGAGCCGCCUAUCAUCAGUUGACUGUCACUAAAGAGGGCACUUCCAACGAUUUCUGGAGUCUUCAAAGAAAACAGAACCACAGAAACACAUGCAGAAUAAUCCUCUAAUUUUUUUUCCCUAUUAUUUGAAUCGACAUCCUCUAUGGAUCUCUGUAUCCGAAGCUUAAGAACAAGAAAAUCCGUGUUGUUGCAAAGAAUGAUUCGCACCCUUAGUUUGUGUGAGGUGGAUCGGUGAAAUAGACUAAUGGGAGCCGCAAAAUUUAAAAUGAUGGUAGAGAAAUCUGAAGAGGAUCUCAAUUCCUAUUAUUUAACUUCAUAUGAACAAAUGAUUCACUAUUUACAUCAAAAUCCAUACAAAUUAAUAAUGGUAAUGGUGCAACAAUUUGCUCAUUCAUCGAGCCAGUCCAGAUCGAAAUGUUUCUCCACCACCUGAACAUGAAGCUCCGGCAAUGCCUUCUCUGCGUCUCUCCACAUCCAAGAAAUAUCCUCGUCGCACACUACGAGGCGCAGAGACUGUAACAUUGCAGCGGAUUUCGGUAGAUUGCUAAUUUGUGAACAUUCCCUCAUGUCAAUCUUUUCCAAACUUGGUAGUUAACCAAUGUCCAUGGGAAGGCAUCUCAAAUUUACACACUGG